This 100-nucleotide small RNA is filed under the name Pan troglodytes (chimpanzee). RNAcentral describes it as "processed transcript". Lineage: Eukaryota; Metazoa; Chordata; Mammalia; Primates; Hominidae. The record is from RNAcentral.
CUUCAUCACACUCACAUAUAAAAGAAAGAAACCUUGAAAAUGAGAGGACCCCAAAUUACGUGAACUUUUGGAUGUGGGGAACAUCGGGCGCCUGGAGCAG